GGGCCUAAUCAGAUAUCUUUAUUAUCCAAAUGAUAAUAAUACACUGUCAUCUGAAAAAGGCACAAUUCUUGUAUUGGAUAAGGAAUGAAAUACUUCCAUAUUACUAAUAUAACUUAUAAUUAUAAAGAUAAUUUUUCAGGUGAGAAAUGAGGGUUAUUUUCCAGUAUAUAAAGAAAAAUAGGGAUGGAAAGAAAUUUUAUGAAAAACUGUAGUUAUAUUUACUAGUUAUCAGUAUAUUAUUUAACAGGACUAACUGGAAACACUACAUCUUGAAAAUGUCAUCAAAAGUUCUGGGAUUCUAAAGCUUGGAAGACUUUUUUUCAUUUUUAAAAAUUUUAUUGUGUUGCUGAUUUUUAGAAUACUUUUUUUUUUUUUUUUUUUUGCCAUGGCAUGCUGUGGCUUAAUGUGGGAUCUCAGUUCCCAGACCAGGGAUUGAACCCAGCUGCAAUGGUGAAAGCAAUGAAUCCUAACCACUAGAGCAUGAGGGAACUCCCCUGGAAGACAUACACCUGACAUUGAAAAACGAAAAUUUUGUGUGGCAAUCAUGUUAUGGUAUAGAAAAAUAUGAAAAGUUGGAGAAUAAAGUCCGAAGUUCCUCAUAUGAAGCGACUUAGUGGUUUCAGAAGCACUCACAGCUGAGGCCUAUGAAUUGUGUUAUACUUUUUAUCUACAGAAUAAAAUUUGUAAGCAUUAUAUAUCAUAUGAAUUAACUUCUCAUGUCUUUAUUGUAUGCAAAAGCAAUAAAACAAAGUGCAAGAACAAUAAUGUUUAAAUAUUAGCAGCAAUUGGAAUGAAAGUAAAUUUAUGAUCAGGAUAAAAUGUUAUUUGCUGAAAGCAAAGCCGUAUUACACUGCUUGAUACUGGAUACUUUAAUCUGAAAUGUUAAAUAUGUUAAUAAACAUAAAGAAUGUUAAAGAUGCUUGUCAUACGUUAGUAACUAGUGUUUUUAUGGUCACUUUAGCACGUGAUUCUGUGGUUAUAUUUGCAUUGUACCUUUAAAGAGGAUGGCAUAGUUACCUUUCAUUUUUGAAUACUUUGGCCAAAAGAUGUAGUUGAAGUACUUUCAUUUUUAUGGGAGAAAAUGUGAAAAGCAUGAUGUUCUUUGAGAAAAAAUGAAUUAGAGCAGCAUUGCAGGUAGUUUAGAAUAUCUAACCAUUUAAUAUUUUUCCAUUUAUCUCAGUCAGAUUUAACCAGUGACUAGCGAGUGUUAUCGAUUUGAGGACAGGUAAUUUCAGUGCUUUUGACUUGUUUUAUUUCUCAUUUUUAGGCUAUGACUGUAAUGAAUCUCUAAUAAUUAUGACUGAGUAAUAUUCUCAGCUAUUCUGACUGUUUGAACCUAUUACUAAAUAAUCUGUUUCCAUUGAUGAUUAUAUAUUCAUUUAAGGAUCUUUUGUUACAUUCUGGAGGUUUAAGAUACUAUAGAAUAUAACUAAGAGCAUGAUAUUCUUUUGCUUAAGUUCUCAUUUUGAAUCAAAAAUAAUAAAUUUUUGAUUCAUUUUUCUCUUACAUAAGAAGUAUAAACAUUAAAAAAUCUGGAAGUAGUAUGUCAGGUUUUUUGAUUAAGCUAUUGAGAUCAUAAUCUUGAGAAAGAAACAUGUAUAUUAAAAAAACCCAUCUGGAUAUUGAAUUACCAAAACAUAUUAUUAAAUUAUUGGUAAAUAUGAAUUUGUUCAUAAUUUUAUUUAGCUAGUCAAGAGCACAUGGUAGAAGGCAAUUCUGUUUGUUAACAUGUUCAUCAUAUCUCCACUUUUUAACUUUCUGGUAUGUGAAAUUCUUCUGGUAAAAUUUUUUGUAUGUUUAAGAUUUUAUAUGUAAUAAUAAUGAUCAUAUAUUUUAUUUAAGAAUAAUAUCUAAAUGCUUAAAUUAUCCACCAUACCUGAGCAAAAACAAUUUAAAAAAAGAAAUAAUUAUAGUUAUCAUGGUAGAUGAUCAGCUAAUUAGUGGUAAUUUAAAUUCAAUAAAUGCAUACACUGAAAUUUAAUGAGAUUUCAUAGCAUUGUCAACUUUUUAAUGUAUAAAUUCAAAAAUUCUUUUCCUUUUCAGAUUGUUGAAUUUUUAAAAUGUUAUUGAUACCACAGAUUCAAUUUGUUCGUUUAUUUAUAUAUUUAUUUUUGGUUACAAAUUUUGCAAAUUAUCUUGCUGGCUAGUGUGUGAUUGAGACUGAGAUGUUUUCCAUUUUUAGAUAUUUCCAUGUGAAACACUCAGAGAAGUAAUCCUGCACAUCUUUUAAGCAGUCAGUGACCUUAUCUUUUGCCAAAAUCAAAUGACAUUCAAUACUGAUACUACGGAGAGAGGAAUCAAAAUAGACACCUAAUUAUAAUUACUUUUUCCCCAUCAUUAUAUCACUACGUGCAGAACAACUGAUUUUUAAGAGAUCACACAACUGCUGAAUUUUGGCAGGUACAAAGGAUUUUUUUCUUUGCUUCUCUCACCCUCCUCCUUCCUGCUUUCCCCACAUGUAGGAUUUAUUGGAAGAGUUCAGACUGACCUCUUUCUUGAAAGAUUUAGUUUGAAUUUAACAGUUUAUAGGAAAUGGAAGUGCAAAAGAAAGUUGAUAUGUUUAUGAUUGCUUCAAAUUCUUAUAAAUCCUUAACCAUACAUGUACAGUUCAAUUGUUAAGAGAGUAAAGAUGGUUUAGGGUAAUCUUGUGAAAAUGACUAUGAAGCCUUGGACCAAAUAUUAUAUGGUUAGUUUCCAGAGUUACUGCUUUUGGAACAAAAUCCAGCUGUGAGCAAUAUGAAGGCAGAGACUACAACCUCUUAACUUUUCAGACCUAGUAUAUAGUACUACAUAGUAGAUAUUCAAUAGUUGCUGAAAGAGCAAAAGAAGAUAGGAUGUGAGGGAAGAAGGAAGGAGAAAAAAAACCUAGGUUUACUGGACAAAGUGAUAAUUCCAGUGUUGUGUGUGUGUUUCUGUGUGUCUGUGUGUAUUUUGGCUGAUGCAUUGCUCUCCCAGACCAAAAACUAACAGGGAUAUGAUAUUUAGACUGAUAGUGAACAUGGUAUAACUUUGAGAAACCUGUUAUUACAGGGGUUUAAGUACUUUUAUUUGCUAUCAGUUCACAGUGGCUCAAUAUUUUUUCUUCCUGUUUAUUUUUGUUGGAUACUAUUGGGAAUAAUAUAAAUAAGUUUGCUUAUGACAUUUCGAGGAAAGUUUUGAUGAUGACUAUCAUGUUUAUUGUCUCUUCUCUUAAAACUACAGAUCCCUUUGACCAGUUCUCCUUUUGAAUGGGUUGAGUACCAUCUAACAGUAGGGACUACCACUUCCUGGUCAACCUCUUUGACCACACUAAGACAUUUCAAAUACUCUGUAACACGUAUAUGGUAUUUAAGAGUCAGAGAUAUCUGCUGGUUAGUCCAUUGACAGAAAAUCGUUUAUUACUCAUUUUAUUUCUUUAUUUAUUUAUGCAUGCUUUUUAGGAUUGCACCUCUGCAGCUCUGAUUUGACCCCUAUCCUGGGAACUUCUAUAUGUCGUGAGUGCGGCCCUAAAAAGACCAAAAAAAAAAAAAAAAAAAAA
Molecule: long non-coding RNA, 3517 nt
Filed under: Sus scrofa (pig)
Lineage: Eukaryota; Metazoa; Chordata; Mammalia; Artiodactyla; Suidae
Description: lncRNA (ENSSSCG00060000321.1)
Source: RNAcentral